UCCGUAGGUGGAUAAUUAAGUCAGAGGUGAAAUCCUGCAGCUCAACUGUAGAAUUGCCUUUGAUACUGGUUAUCUUGAGUCAUUAUGAAGUGGUUAGAAUGUGUAGUGUAGCGGUGAAAUGCAUAGAUAUUACACAGAAUACCGAUUGCGAAGGCAGAUCACUAAUAAUGUACUGACACUGAUGGACGAGAGCGUGGGGAGCGAACAGGAUUAGAUACCCUGGUAGUCC
This 229-nucleotide ribosomal RNA is filed under the name uncultured bacterium. Its description in RNAcentral is "partial 16S ribosomal RNA". It matches the Rfam family "Bacterial small subunit ribosomal RNA", at positions 568 to 796 of the family's 1533-position model. The record is from RNAcentral.